GUUUCUACAAAGACAUCCGAUAAAAUUGGAACUAUACCAAGAAGAUUAGCAUGGCCCUGCGCAAGGAAUUUUAAUGCGCAUCCACUGUCCACAAUGUU
This 98-nucleotide small nuclear RNA is filed under the name Amborella trichopoda. The record is from RNAcentral. Lineage: Eukaryota; Viridiplantae; Streptophyta; Magnoliopsida; Amborellales; Amborellaceae.